RNAcentral lists this ribosomal RNA (374 nucleotides) under uncultured organism. RNAcentral describes it as "partial 16S ribosomal RNA". It matches the Rfam family "Bacterial small subunit ribosomal RNA", at positions 527 to 896 of the family's 1533-position model. The record is from RNAcentral.
GGAGGGCGCAAGCGUUGUUCGGAAUUACUGGGCGUAAAGCGCGUGUAGGCGGUUUGGCAAGUCGGAUGUGAAAGCCCCGGGCUCAACCCGGGAAAUGCAUCCGAAACUUUCAAGCUAGAGUCCCGGAGAGGAAGGCAGAAUUCCCAGUGUAGGGGUGAAAUCCGUAGAUAUUGGGAGGAAUACCAGUGGCGAAGGCGGCCUUCUGGACGGUGACUGACGCUGAGACGCGAAAGCGUGGGGAGCAAACAGGAUUAGAUACCCUGGGUAGUCCACGCUGUAAACGGUGCGUACUAGGUGUCGGGGGUAUUCACCCCCUCCGGUGCCCGUAGGUAACCUAUUAAGUACGCCGCCUGGGGAGUACGGUCGCAAGGCUA